ACCUGGAUGCCUCAGUUGGUAGAGCAUGUGACUCUUGAUCUCAGGAUUGUGAGUUCAAGCCUCACAUUGGGUG
RNAcentral lists this transfer RNA (73 nucleotides) under Felis catus (domestic cat). It matches the Rfam family "tRNA". Rfam says of the family: Transfer RNA (tRNA) molecules are approximately 80 nucleotides in length. Their secondary structure includes four short double-helical elements and three loops (D, anti-codon, and T loops). Further hydrogen bonds mediate the characteristic L-shaped molecular structure. tRNAs have two regions of fundamental functional importance: the anti-codon, which is responsible for specific mRNA codon recognition, and the 3' end, to which the tRNAs corresponding amino acid is attached (by aminoacyl-tRNA synthetases). tRNAs cope with the degeneracy of the genetic code in two manners: having more than one tRNA (with a specific anti-codon) for a particular amino acid; and 'wobble' base-pairing, i.e. permitting non-standard base-pairing at the 3rd anti-codon position. Lineage: Eukaryota; Metazoa; Chordata; Mammalia; Carnivora; Felidae. RNAcentral also lists the same sequence under 3 other names. The record is from Rfam by way of RNAcentral.